UGGGGGAUAUUGCACAAUGGGCGAAAGCCUGAUGCAGCAACGCCGCGUGAGGGAAGACGGUUUUCGGAUUGUAAACCUCUGUCUUCGAUGAAGAAACAAAUGACGGUAGCCGAGGAGGAAGCCACGGCUAACUACGUGCCAGCAGCCGCGGUAAUACGUAGGUGGCAAGCGUUGUCCGGAAUUACUGGGUGUAAAGGGAGCGCAGGCGGGGAGACAAGUCAGCUGUGAAAACUAUGGGCUUAACCCAUAAACUGCAGUUGAAACUGUUUUUCUUGAGUGGAGUAGAGGUAGGCGGAAUGCCGAGGGUAGCGGUGAAAUGCGUAGAUAUUCGGAGGAACACCAGUGGCGAAGGCGGCCUACUGGGCUCUAACUGACGCUGAGGCUCGAAAGUGUGGGGAGCAAACA
Molecule: ribosomal RNA, 405 nt
Filed under: uncultured prokaryote
Description: bacterial SSU rRNA
Rfam family: Bacterial small subunit ribosomal RNA
Source: RNAcentral